Bubalus bubalis (water buffalo) is the source of this 1534-nucleotide long non-coding RNA. RefSeq lists it as uncharacterized. The transcript is spliced from 2 exons. NCBI's taxonomy places the organism in Eukaryota, Metazoa, Chordata, Mammalia, Artiodactyla, Bovidae. The record is from RefSeq and is a predicted model, not a curated record.
CUGGCACAUGGCAAACAGGAUGACCUUUCCAUCCUAGGAAAAUAUGUCAAUGUUUAACCUCAUUGCACUCAACCAGACGUUUCCUUGCACAAAUUUUCAAGUGAAAUAUUUCAAUCCUGCAUUCAUCUUGGGGGCCACAUGUCUUAUCCAAGUUAAAUAUUUCCAGAAAAUAAAUGUCUAGACACCGUCUCAUAUAAAUUAAGCACCCGGUUUUUAAAAGAUUUCUAGCAGACCUCCUUUUUGGUGUGUGGGUGAGUAUAAUUUGACUCCUGUGAACAACUCUGGGUCGGAUCUGAUGUGCCUAAGCCUGUGCACCUGCAGGCGGUUAAUGAGCGCUGCUGAGUCACGGUGGAUGGUGUGGGUUAGGGGAGGGGGUCGGGGUUAGGGGAAGGUGGUGAUGGACGAGGGGGACAUGACGGGAAGAGAGGACUCUGGAGGAUAUUCCAUAGAAGAGCAACGAGAUCUGUUUACUUGGAGGUCAUGAUUUUCAAGAAUCUUGGAUUGAAAAAGUCCUUGUAUGCUGAAAUCCACCUCAGGGAGGCUUGCCAUAUUGGUUAACCCUCUCAUCGGAGAAUAAAGAAAAUGUGACUGUACACGAAGAUAGUAACACAACAAUGGACUCUGAACCAGAAGAAAACCUUCAAUUUACAGAAUCCUGGAGCAUCAUAACCAGAGGGACCUUUGGCCCAGCUCCCGGCACCAACUGUAAAACUCUCUUUCUCCCUCUGCCACCUGAUAAUUAGGAAAGCCUCAGCAAUUUGCAAAAGAAGAACUUCAAGGUCUGUUCUGGCCCUGAGAAUCUAGGACAAGGUGCAUCUUGAUGGGUUCUGGACCAGGUCUGGAGCAGGUCCUAGGAAGGACUUGCCAAGAUUCCACCUGUUCUAGACCUCCUCAUGACACUUAGGGCCAAAUACAAUUGUCCUGAAGAUUUAGCCUGGUAAUUUAACAGGACUCCAACUAAAAUGCAUUGAGAGAAAUAAUUGACUUCAAAAAUUAACCAGUAAAAAAUACAUACAUAUUAUCAACAAGUGAAUAAUAGGCCAAACCAACUCGAGAUUACUAAUUCCUGGAGUAGAAGUAAAAUGGAUGGGGCAUGAAGAGAUGCAUUUUAGAGCUGAAUAGCUUUGCGUAGAAAUUUUGGUUCUGUCACUUGAAGUGACUUGGCAAGUUAGUCACCUGUCUUUCCCUGUAUCCUUAUCUAUAACUUAGGGAAUAUUCAUGCCCAUUUCUCUGAGGAAUAAAGUGAUUUAUGGUGUAGGGAAAGAGUAACUAGCCAAGAUGGUGGUAAUCAGGCUCUUUCCCCAUAUUUCCUCUCACUCAUGCCCCAUGUUUUUUCACUCUCCUCCCACAGUCUGUAAACAAUGACUUUAUAUUUCUAUAUUCAGUUGAGAGCAUUUAUAGCACUGCACGUGUGCAUCACUCCUAUAUUAGUGCCACUUGAACAGCCCUUGCUGAGCACUGCGGAGGCAUCAAACAUUAGAGAAUAAAGCAUGUCUGCCUUGCUGCUGCAAAUAAAGAAUGUCUGCAAUUCCUA